UACGGGGGGGGGCAAGCGUUGUUCGGAAUUACUGGGCGUAAAGGGCUCGUAGGUGGCCAACUAAGUCAGACGUGAAAUCCCUCGGCUUAACCGGGGAACUGCGUCUGAUACUGGAUGGCUUGAGUUCGGGAGAGGGAUGCGGAAUUCCAGGUGUAGCGGUGAAAUGCGUAGAUAUCGUAAGGAAGACCAGUGGCGAAGGCGGGUCUCUGGACAGUUCCUGACGCUGAGGCACGAAGGCCAGGGGGAGCAAACGGGGA
This 257-nucleotide ribosomal RNA is filed under the name uncultured bacterium. RNAcentral's name for it is "partial 16S ribosomal RNA". It matches the Rfam family "Bacterial small subunit ribosomal RNA", at positions 524 to 778 of the family's 1533-position model. The record is from RNAcentral.